Oncorhynchus keta (chum salmon) is the source of this 1441-nucleotide long non-coding RNA. RefSeq lists it as uncharacterized. Lineage: Eukaryota; Metazoa; Chordata; Actinopteri; Salmoniformes; Salmonidae. The record is from RefSeq and is a predicted model, not a curated record. The transcript has 4 exons.
CUAGAAAACCAUCACUGGCCCAGGGAGGUAUGACAUCCAGGAUUUCACUGAGAACCGGGAGAAGAAGCCAUGCACUGUGAGACGUGACAUCAGUAAGGUUUAAAGACUUCAUGAAGGAUUCUGGUUUGUGCCCUGGUACCUAGAACCUUCAAUGAGGUGCUCCUCAGAUGAAGGUUCUCCACGUCAGAAAGCAAGGACCCUACGACCUCUUCACUGGCUGACGAGAAAAGCCAAUCACCUUCGGAUAUUUUGCUGCCCCGAAAAAAAGCUAAUCUGAAUCUUGGUACGUUCGUCAAGCCGGCUAAGGUCUGGUAUGAGGGCCUUCUGCGGCCAGAGAAAAGACACCCCGGCACGAUUGGCCACUACCCUUCCGAACGCAUAUAUGUGGGUUCCCUGCCCCAAUACCCCCGCCAAGAGAUUUUCAAUGGGAUUCACAUCUGGGCAUUGGCUGGGCUAUUCAAGGACUUUCACAUUCUUAUUCUGACACCAUUCCAGCAUUGCUUUGGUUGUAUGCUUCGGGUCAUUGUCCUGUUGGAAUGUAAAUCUUUGCCCCAUUUUAAGGUUGUUUUCAGUCUGAAACUUGUUCUCAUCAAGGAUUUUCCUAUAUUUGGCUCCAUUCAUUGUCACCUCUGUCCUUACCAGUCUCCCAGUCUCCCAAUCCCCAUAGCAUGUUGCUGCCACCACCAUGCUUCACAGUAGAGAUGGUGUUAGAUGGAUGAUGAGCUCUGCCUGUUUUUUUCCCCAGACAUAGCGCUUUGCAUUCAGGCCAAAGAGUAAAAAAAUGUAUCUCAUCAGACCACAGAUUUUUUUGCCUUAUGCUCUGAGUCUUUCAUGUGCCUUUUUGCAAACUCAAGGCAUGCUCUCAUGUGCCUUAUUCUUAGGUGUGGCUUCCGUCUGGCCACUCUCCAAUAAAGCCCAGAUUGGUGAAGUGCUGUAGAGACUGUUGUCCUUCUGGCAGGUUCUCCCAUCUCAGCCAAGGAACUAUGUAGUAAUAUCAGUGGUCAUUGGGUUCUUGGUCACCUCCCUGACCAAGGUCCUUCUUGCCCGGUUGUUCAGUUUGGUCGGACGGACAGCUCUUGGCAGAGUCUGGUUCGUUCCUUAUUUUUAAAAUGUCCCAAUGAUGGAGACCACUGUGCUCUUGAAAUUGUUUCAGACCCUUCCUCGGAUAUACAGUAUGCUUCAUCACAAUUCUAUCUCAGAUAUCGACGGCCAGUUCCUUGGACUUCAUGGUAUAGUUUCUGCCUUGACAUGCACUUUCAACUGUGGGACAUUAUAUAGACAGGUGUGUUUCUUUAUAAAUCAUGUCCAAUCAACUGAAUUUACCACAGGUGGACUCCAAUCAAGGAUGAUCAAAGGAAAUUGGAUGCACCUGAGCUCAAUUUGGAGUGUCAUAGCAAAGGGGUGUGAAUACUUAUGUAAAUGAGAUAUUUCUGCAUUUCAU